Molecule: ribosomal RNA, 399 nt
Filed under: uncultured bacterium
Lineage: Bacteria
Description: bacterial SSU rRNA
Rfam family: Bacterial small subunit ribosomal RNA
Source: RNAcentral
AGAGUUUGAUCCUGGCUCAGAACGAACGCUGGCGGCACGCCUAACACAUGCAAGUCGAGCGCCCAGCAAUGGGAGCGGCGGACGGGUGAGUAACACGUGGGAACAUGCCUUUCGGUACGGAACAACUCAGGGAAACUUGAGCUAAUGCCGUAUACGCCCUUACGGGGAAAGAUUUAUCGCCGAAAGAUUGGCCCGCGUCUGAUUAGCUUGUUGGUGAGGUAACGGCUCACCAAGGCUUCGAUCAGUAGCUGGUUUGAGAGAACGACCAGCCACACUGGGACUGAGACACGGCCCAGACUCCUACGGGAGGCAGCAGUGGGGAAUCUUGGACAAUGGGGGAAACCCUGAUCCAGCGAUGCCGCGUGAGUGAUGAAGGCCUUCGGGUUGUAAAACUCUUUC